GCUCUGUACUUAUUCAUCCCGUCAUUGUGUUAUUGUGCAAAUGUAAAAAAAAUAUUCGUGUCUUUCAUUUUUGCAAAUGUGCUUUGUCUAUAUGCCUUUUUGUGUUUCAUUUAUAAAUAAGACGAAACUCUGUACUUUAACAUCCUGCCAUUGUGUUAUUGUGUUAUUGUGCAAUGGUAAAUUUUUGUAUUCUUGUCUUUAAUUUUUACUAAUUGCUUUGUCUAUAUGCCUUUUUGUGCUUUUUUGUUACACAUUGGUUUGUUUAUAUAGUGAUUAAGAUUAUAAAAC
RNAcentral lists this long non-coding RNA (288 nucleotides) under Mytilus galloprovincialis (Mediterranean mussel). The record is from RNAcentral. Lineage: Eukaryota; Metazoa; Mollusca; Bivalvia; Mytilida; Mytilidae.